Molecule: long non-coding RNA, 1151 nt
Organism: Eucalyptus grandis
Lineage: Eukaryota; Viridiplantae; Streptophyta; Magnoliopsida; Myrtales; Myrtaceae
Exons: 10
Source: RefSeq, a predicted model, not a curated record
CUAUGGGAUUUGCCACAACUAUCUGUAGUCAUAAAACCGGAACCUUCACUUUAAAUCAGUUGUCGAGGCUUAAGCUGGUGGAAGAAAAGUUGAUCCUCCAGACAGCACCUCAAAGUUAUCAACUUCUCUGAUUUCUCUACUGAUUGAAGCCAUUGCUCAGAAUUAUGCGCCUGAGACAAUGGGAGAUGUAGAGCUGUCUGCUUCACCAACUGAAAAGGCCAUUCUACAGUGGGGGAUCAAGCUGGAGAUGGAAAUUGAAGUUGUUCGGUCAAGUUCCUCUAUAAUUCAUGUUUUCCCUUUCAAUUCUGAGAAAAAACGAGGUGGAGUUGUUGUAAAGCUGAAGAUGUAUUUCUAAAUGGCUAUUGAAGAUAUGGCUACUGAUAGUCUGUGCUGUGUUGCCAUUGCAUAUAGAUCACAUGACAUAAAAGACAUUCCUCUAGAUAAAGAACAGUAAACCAAGUGGGCAUUACCAGAGGAUGAGCUUAUCUUACUGGCUAUUGUGGGCAUAAAGGAUCCUUGUCGUCCUGAAGUAAAAGAUGCCAUGAAAUGCCAAAAUGCUGGAGUUAAGGUAACGAAAGGUUACUGGUGACCAUCUCCAAAUUGCCAAAGCAAUUGCUUUGGAAUGCGGGAUACUAGAUCCAGAAGCAGAUGCUAUUGCGCCAAACCUUAUUAAAGGAAAAACUUUCCGUUCCUUAAGUGAUGAGGAAAGAGAAGAAGUUGCUGAGAAGAUAUCAGUAUGGUUAUGGGAAGAUCAUCUCCUAACGACAAGCUUCUGAUUGUUCAAGCAUUGGGAAAGAGAGGACACUUUGUAGCUGUAAGUGGGGAUGGCACUAAUGAUGCUCCUGCUCCACAAGGUGAUCUUCCACUGAAUGUAGUGUAGGUUAAUCUUAUCAUUUCGGACGCCCUUUGGUGCAGUAGCACUAGCUACCAAGCCUCCAACUGACCACCUUAUGCAUAGGCCUCCAGUUGGUAGGAGGUGAGAGUUCCUGGAUGUUAUUAUUGGUGCAACAUAUGUGAAGAAUUUUGGUCAAAAGCUUGGAUAUCAUGUUUUUUUCUUGUCAACUUAAAUCUCAAUUUCUUUUAGAUGUGUAUUGGGAUUUCUUCACUUGCUGAAACCUGUUGUUUAUCCUUACUCUUCAUGUACGCACUGG